Non-coding RNA from Acanthosepion pharaonis, 94 nucleotides. The record is from the annotation of a GenBank genome assembly. NCBI's taxonomy places the organism in Eukaryota, Metazoa, Mollusca, Cephalopoda, Sepiida, Sepiidae.
UUCACUGGUUCCCGUAUAAUCACUAAAGUUAAGCAACGUCAAGGUUGGUCAGUACCUAGAUGGGUGACCGCUUGGGAAGACCAGGGGUUGUAAG